RNAcentral lists this ribosomal RNA (311 nucleotides) under uncultured bacterium. RNAcentral's name for it is "bacterial SSU rRNA". It matches the Rfam family "Bacterial small subunit ribosomal RNA", at positions 28 to 334 of the family's 1533-position model. The record is from RNAcentral.
GAUGAACGCUAGCGGCAGGCCUAACACAUGCAAGUCGAGGGGUAACAUUGGAGCUUGCUUCAGAUGACGACCGGCGCACGGGUGCGCACCGCGUAUGGAACCUACCUUUUACAGAGGGAUAGCCCAGGGAAACUUGGAUUAAUACCUCAUAGUAUCAUUAUACGGCAUUGUAUUAUGAUUAAAGCAUUCGUGCGGUAAAAGAUGGCCAUGCGUCCCAUUAGCUAGAUGGUAAGGUAACGGCUUACCAUGGCUACGAUGGGUAGGGGCCCUGAGAGGGGGAUCCCCCACACUGGUACUGAGACACGGACCAG